RNAcentral lists this unclassified non-coding RNA (230 nucleotides) under Hevea brasiliensis (rubber tree). The record is from RNAcentral. Lineage: Eukaryota; Viridiplantae; Streptophyta; Magnoliopsida; Malpighiales; Euphorbiaceae.
AUUUCUUGUCCUUUAUUCCAGUGUAAAUAAGUCAACCUCCCCUGAAAUAGAUUUUUCCAUACUGCAUCACCAACUUCUCUAUCACUGAUUUGACCUCUCUUAUAGCUCUUCCAGCUGAGAGAGAGGGAAUACUCGAACUUGUGAGCUAUAUAUCGAAACCAAGUGGAUAGAGAAACCAUUUGCAACUACUGUAUCAAUGCUUGUAGCCCAGCAUUCCUUUUUCGUUAAAC